UACGUAGGGGGCUAGCGUUGUCCGGAUUUAUUGGGCGUAAAGAGCGUGUAGGCGGCCAAGUAAGUCCGGUGUGAAAACUCGAGGCUUAACCUCGAGAUGUCAUCGGAAACUAUUUGGCUAGAGUCCGGAAGAGGAGAGUGGAAUUCCUGGUGUAGCGGUGAAAUGCGCAGAUAUCAGGAAGAACACCGGUGGCGAAGGCGGCUUCCUGGACCAGCACUGACGCUGAUGCGCGAAAGCUAGGGGAGCAAACAGG
RNAcentral lists this ribosomal RNA (253 nucleotides) under uncultured bacterium. RNAcentral describes it as "partial 16S ribosomal RNA". It matches the Rfam family "Bacterial small subunit ribosomal RNA", at positions 524 to 776 of the family's 1533-position model. The record is from RNAcentral.